GCGCUCGUAGCUCAGCUGGAUAGAGUACCUGGCUACGAACCAGGCGGUCAGAGGUUCGAAUCCUCUCGAACGCGCCA
RNAcentral lists this transfer RNA (77 nucleotides) under Vibrio cholerae. RNAcentral's name for it is "tRNA-Arg". It matches the Rfam family "tRNA". From Rfam's summary of the family: Transfer RNA (tRNA) molecules are approximately 80 nucleotides in length. Their secondary structure includes four short double-helical elements and three loops (D, anti-codon, and T loops). Lineage: Bacteria; Pseudomonadati; Pseudomonadota; Gammaproteobacteria; Vibrionales; Vibrionaceae. The record is from RNAcentral.